RNAcentral lists this ribosomal RNA (725 nucleotides) under uncultured eukaryote. RNAcentral describes it as "bacterial SSU rRNA". It matches the Rfam family "Eukaryotic small subunit ribosomal RNA", at positions 1034 to 1771 of the family's 1831-position model. The record is from RNAcentral.
AAACGAUGCCACCAGCAAUCAGCCUCAGUUCUCACAAUGACUCGGCUGGCGGCUUCCGGGAAACCAAAGCUUUUCGGUUCCGGGGGAAGUAUGGUUGCAAAGCUGAAACUUAAAGGAAUUGACGGAAGGGCACCACCAGGAGUGGAGCCUGCGGCUUAAUUUGACUCAACACGGGAAAACUUACCCGGCCCGGACACUGGAAGGAUUGACAGACUGAUAGCUCUUUCUUGAUUCAGUGGGUGGUGGUGCAUGGCCGUUCUUAGUUGGUGGAGUGAUUUGUCUGGUUAAUUCCGAUGACGAACGAGACUCUAGCCUACUAAAUAGACCCGUGUUCCUUCAUGUGACACGGGGACUUCUUAGAGGGACAGGCGGCGACUCAGCCGCACGAAACAGAGCAAUAACAGGUCUGUGAUGCCCUUAGAUGUCCGGGGCCGCACGCGCGCUACACUGAAGUGAUCAGCGUGCAUUUAAAUCCUACUCUGCCAAGAGUGGGAAACCCAUUGAACCUUCUUCGUGAUUGGGAUAGGGGAUUGUAAUUAUUCCCCUUGAACGAGGAAUUCCCAGUAAGCGCGAGUCAUAAGCUCGCGUUGAUUACGUCCCUGCCCUUUGUACACACCGCCCGUCGCUACUACCGAUUGAAUGUUUUAGUGAGGUCUUCAGACUGGCCGGCGCAGCUACCCUCGUGGUGGCAACGCUGUGUUUGGGAAGAUGCCCAAACUUGAACA